GCGAGGUUAAGUUCUGAAGGAACGGAGCCGAAGGGAAACCAAGUCUUAAUAGGGCGAGUAGUCAGUCGGAGUAGACCCGAAACCGGGUGAUCUAUCCAUGUCCAGGUUGAAGUUGCCGUAAAAGGCAAUGGAGGACCGAACCCACAUCCGUUGAAAAGGGUGGGGAUGAGGUGUGGAUAGGGGAGAAAUUCCAAUCGAACCCGGAGAUAGCUGGUUCUCCUCGAAAUAGCUUUAGGGCUAGCCUCAUACGAGUCUUGCGGAGGUAGAGCACUGAAUUCCUAAGGGGGCGUCAAAGCUUACUAAGGGAUAUCAAACUCCGAAUGCCGUGUAGAUGAUGUAUGGGAGUCAGACGAUCCGAGAUAAGUUGGGUGGUCAAAAGGGAAAGAGCCCAGACCAACAGCUAAGGCCCCAAAAUGUGUGUUAAGUGGAAAAGGAUGUGGGAUUUCGAAGACAACUAGGAUGUUGGCUCAGAAGCAGCCAUUCAUUCAAAGAGUGCGUAAUAGCUCACUAGUCGAGAGGUCCUGCGCCGAAAAUGUCCGGGGCUAAAACACACUGCCGAAGCUUUGGAAUUGAGAAUUCAAUUGGUAGAGGAGCAUUCUUAAAGGGACGAAGCAGUACCGUAAGGAGCUGUGGACUUUUAAGAAGAGAGAAUGCCGGAAUGAGUAGCGAGAGGAAGGUGGGAAUCCUUCCGGCCGAAUAUCUAAGGUUUCCAGAGUAAAGCUGAUCUGCUCUGGGUAAGUCGGGGCCUAAGGCGAGGUCGAAAGACGUAGUCGAUGGAUAACAGGUUGAAAUUCCUGUACUAUCCUGUAACAGAACUGUGGGGACACAGGCAGAGAGCGUGAGCCGGGAAUGGAAAGACCGGUACAAGCGAGGUAGGAGUCUGGUUGGCAAAUCCGCCAGGCAAUCUGAAGACGUGAUGUGGACUGAAAAUAAGUAGGGAAGCACGUGAGCUGACUGUCAAGAAAAGCCGCUAUUGUUUGCAGGAUACCCGUACCGUAAACCGACACAGGUGGAUGAGGAGAGAAUCCUAAGGCCGACGGGAGAAGCAUUGUUAAGGAACUCGGCAAAAUGACUCCGUAACUUCGGGAGAAGGAGUGCCAGUAAGAUGGCCGCAGAGAAUUGGCCCAAGCAACUGUUUAGCAAAAACACAGGUCUAUGCAAAACCGAAAGGUGAGGUAUAUGGGCUGACGCCUGCCCGGUGCUGGAAGGUUAAGGGGAGAGGUUAGCGCAAGCGAAGCUUUGAACUUAAGCCCCAGUAAACGGCGGCCGUAACUAUAACGGUCCUAAGGUAGCGAAAUUCCUUGUCGGGUAAGUUCCGACCCGCACGAAAGGCGUAAUGAUUUGAGCGCUGUCUCGACAAUGCACCCGGUGAAAUUGAAAUACCAGUGAAGAUGCUGGUUACCUGCGCCAGGACGGAAAGACCCCAUGGAGCUUUACUCCAGCUUGAUACUGGGAUUCGGUAUUGCAUGUACAGGAUAGGUGGGAGGCUAGGAAAUGGUAACGCCAGUUGCCAUGGAGCCACUGUUGGGAUACCACCCUUGCAGUACUGGGUUUCUAACCAGCAGCCGUGAUCCGGCUGGGGGACAAUGUCAGGUGGGGAGUUUGACUGGGGCGGUCGCCUCCGAAAGGGUAUCGGAGGCGCUCAAAGGUUCCCUCAGAAUGGUUGGAAACCAUUCGAAGAGUGCAAAGGCAGAAGGGAGCUUGACUGCGACACCGACGGGUGGAGCAGGUACGAAAGUAGGACUUAGUGAUCCGGUGGUAUAAAGUGGGAUUGCCAUCGCUCAACGGAUAAAAGCUACCCUGGGGAUAACAGGCUUAUCACUCCCAAGAGUUCACAUCGACGGAGUGGUUUGGCACCUCGAUGUCGGCUCAUCGCAUCCUGGGGCUGAAGUAGGUCCCAAGGGUUGGGCUGUUCGCCCAUUAAAGCGGUACGCGAGCUGGGUUCAGAACGUCGUGAGACAGUUCGGUCCCUAU
This 1974-nucleotide ribosomal RNA is filed under the name human gut metagenome. RNAcentral describes it as "bacterial LSU rRNA". It matches the Rfam family "Bacterial large subunit ribosomal RNA", at positions 640 to 2641 of the family's 2925-position model. The record is from RNAcentral.